AUCAUCCAUAAACUAUGACAUAAACAUAAGCUACGUCCUUUUGUUAUCUUAAUAAACAAAAAACAUCCACAUACUAUUUCAAAAGUUGCAAGAUCCUCCUUCUAGAUAACAGAGUAGCUUCUGCCCACUGAGUCCUCUCCCUUCACAAGACUGGAAUUGAUAAAAAAGAUGGUGCGUCUCGGGGCGGAAUUGGUCUUGCUAGCUUUUUCCUAUAGGCGAGACGCACUGUUUUGAGGACUUUUACCCAAAAAGAGGAGAUUCAGUAGGUGGGCGAGUGUACUAGCAAUGGUUACGGCUGUUUCUUUAGCCUAUGGUGAUUCUAUUCAAUUGACAUUAUCUGCCCUGAAAAAGCUAACUUUUAGAGUUCCAUCAUGGUCAGCCCGACACUCACAUAAGAAAUACCACCCUUAGCAGAUCUAUUGUCUCCUCCGGACACCAAAAGAAAAGGCAUCAACCAAAAAAAAAUGUGUCAGGUCCGUGACUUUUCCCACCCCAGUUCCGAUUGUCUUCCACCUCCAGGAUCCAACAAGAAUGCAUGUACAUGUUGGUAAAGUGUGUGACUGUGUGUGCUUGACAAAGUCUGUAAAGCAAUAAAGACUAGAUUCACAAAGAACUUGAUGGCUGGUACAUGCCCGCAAAACCGAGCUAAGGGGUUCAAGCGCUUUUCACCAUGUCACUACUUCCGAGGCUUUGAGGGAUCGGAGCUUGAAAUGAAGGCUUGAAGCUCAAAAACAUGCUAAAAUUGAAGUACAAGACUCCACAUGGAUGAAUACUUGGAGCUCACUGUUUGGAGGUGCGGAAAUGGAUGCGAUUGCAAGUGGGAGAUGCGACAGCCACACAUAGUCCAUUUAAGGUUGUUUUUGCAAUUUUCAGAAUGACACACCAUUUGGGCAUUUAUGUAAUAGCUAGCUAUAUAGACUAUAAAUAGGUGCGAAUAACUCAUUUAGACUUAGAUUUUGAGAUUAUUUUGGAUAUUGAGUGAUGCUCGAGAGUAGGGGCUAUGACCUUGCAUUGUUAUACCAUGUUGAUGGGAUUGCUUGCCGGAGGAUUUCAUUGCCUCUUGAGGGUUAUCUUAGAUAAUAGAUUGCUUGAGGAGUCCAUCCUCUUGAGGGUUAUCCUAUAGAUUUGGUGCUUGUUUGUGGAUUUUUAAUUGAAGAUUUUAGCUUUGUA
This is a long non-coding RNA of Solanum dulcamara, 1170 nucleotides long. RefSeq lists it as uncharacterized. Lineage: Eukaryota; Viridiplantae; Streptophyta; Magnoliopsida; Solanales; Solanaceae. The transcript is spliced from 2 exons. The record is from RefSeq and is a predicted model, not a curated record.